GCAAACUUGGUCAUUUAGAGGAAGUAAAAGUCGUAACAAGGUAACCGUAGGUGAACCUGCGGUUGGAUCAUUAAAAAAUGAUAACCUCUCUCGGGCGAUCACUCGCACGGGAGGGCGUGGUUUACGCCACGUUAACAUCUUGUGAACCCACUGAACGUCUCUGGCGAGGGGGAAAUGACCUGGAAGUCUCUCUUUGGCUUUCAACGAUUUUCUCGUCAGCUCGCGUCGCAAGACGCGCGGCCGUGGACAUCUCGCCAACCGCUUCCCUUCUCCGGGGAGGCGUUGUUUGCUCACAUCUUGAUUUUCUGAUUGGAAUUGACUCUGAGAUAUUGCAAAGCAUUCGUGCUUUGGAAGAGAAACAAAUGAUCUAAAACAACUUUUGGCAACGGAUCUCUUGGCUCUCGCAUCGAUGAAGAACGCAGC
This 423-nucleotide unclassified non-coding RNA is filed under the name uncultured fungus. RNAcentral's name for it is "partial contains small subunit ribosomal RNA, internal transcribed spacer 1, and 5.8S ribosomal RNA". The stretch from base 1 to 73 matches the Rfam family "Eukaryotic small subunit ribosomal RNA", at positions 1759 to 1831 of the family's 1831-position model. The record is from RNAcentral. Lineage: Eukaryota; Fungi.